Molecule: ribosomal RNA, 468 nt
Filed under: uncultured bacterium
Lineage: Bacteria
Description: partial 16S ribosomal RNA
Rfam family: Bacterial small subunit ribosomal RNA
Source: RNAcentral
GACGAACGCUGGCGGCGUGCUUAACACAUGCAAGUCGAACGGAAAGGCCCUGCUUUUGUGGGGUGCUCGAGUGGCGAACGGGUGAGUAACACGUGAGUAACCUGCCCUUGACUUUGGGAUAACUUCAGGAAACUGGGGCUAAUACCGGAUAGGAGCUCCUGCUGCAUGGUGGGGGUUGGAAAGUUUCGGCGGUUGGGGAUGGACUCGCGGCGUAUCAGCUUGUUGGUGGGGUAGUGGCUUACCAAGGCUUUGACGGGUAGCCGGCCUGAGAGGGUGACCGGCCACGUUGGGACGGGGAUGCGGCCCGGACUCCUACGGGAGGCAGCAGUGGAGAAUAUUGCACAAUGGACGGAAGCCUGAUGCAGCAACGCCACGUGGGGGAUGACGGCCUUCGGGUUGUAAACCGCUUUCGCCUGUGACGAAGCGUGAGUGACGGUAAUGGGUAAAGAAGCACCGGCUAACUACGUG